GAAAGGAGAGGGUUUGGCUAUGUUUUACGGCGUCGGAGGAGGUGAAGUGAUGAGGGAUUAUUUUGUUGUUGUAGCCGGUGUGAAUGGAGAUCUCGGAAGCCAAUCGGUUGGAUGGGUUGUGUCGCCGUGAAAGUUGUUGGAGGAAGGGUUUUACCGUGGUGGCGAUUUUUGUGUUUAAUGGGGUCUUGCCGGCGACGGAGGGUUUGGUGAAGGCCACACAGAAGGUUUGUUUGUAUGGUUGUGGUUAGGUGAUUGUUAGGUGAUGAGUGUUGGAAUGCGGCGUAUCACGGUGCGGGUGGAAGGCGAAAUAUGGUAUUAAUGUUAUUGUGAGGGUCGAUGAAGAAAAAGAAGGGUAAAAGGAGAGGAAUGGCGAGGAGGAGCUUUGACGGGGGAAGGAGGUUGUAGGAGGAUGACGUCAGAGACCUGACGGGGGAAGGAGGUUGUAGGAGGAUGACGUCAGAGACCUUUGGGAGAAGAAGAGGGUCCUUCCCAAGAGAGAAAGAUCAAAAAUUCUUUAAUUCGUCUCUUUCGUUUUCUUUUAUUUUUUUUCUAGCAGACCAAAAGAGAGAAUUCUGUUGGUGAGUGGGGAUGAAACCAAUCCCUUUUUGAUUGGUGGGAGCGGUCCCUCUCUAAUCCCUUCACCAACUAUUAAUCAAUUUAUUUUCUACUCCUUUUUUUUGUUUUUUCGCCAGCUGUCCUCUUGGAGAGAGGGAGUACUAUUGUGAGCUGUCAUCAACAAUGUCGUUGGGAAUGGAAGGGGGUGACGUGUGUGGUGUGUGCAUUAGGGAAUAACCUUUUAUUUUAACCAAAUAUAAAAUGAGAUAAGAGUGCCACAUGGAGCUCACUAAUUGGACCAAGGAGAUAUUUUAUUUUUUUAAUUUUAUUAAUUAACUAAAUAAAUUAAAUGUUAGUUUAUAAUUGAUUAAUAAGAGAAAAUGAGGAUAAUGCAUGUGAUCAUUUGAUUAAAUUUGAAUCGACGCUUCAGAUUUAAAUCAAAGAAGCAUACGAAAAUUUAAAAUGCCUACAAUGUCUCUUCUAAAUGAUUUAAUGAAUUUAAAACAAAUUAAAUCAAUUAAAUUAAAUAAAACUCACAAUUUUAAAAAUGAACGUGAUAAAAAUAAAAUAAUAACACAAAAUUUAUAUUUUAUUAUCCCGGUUAGUUUAACGAAAGAAUAAAAAUAAAACAACUAAGAAUGAAUAAAAGUCGGACACAAAUUUGCUCGAAAAAUUAAAUCGGACACACUAAAAUGAUCAGUGUGAAAUAAAUUUAUUGGAAAAAUACAGCGUUUAAUUUAAUUUUGAAAUAAAUUUUGACCGGUUAAAAGGCUCAAACGGAUCAAAAUGCGACCGAGAAAGUUGUCGAAAAAUAUAAUGAGCACACCAGGUUAAACUACGUGAACCAUAGAUUAAUAAUACUGACGUCUGCAAGCUUGAUUUCAAAACUUUUUACCCGCUGAUUUUGCAUGUACUUGAGGAAUGAUUUAACCAAUUUGUCUGUAUAUUCAAGAAUUUAUUCUGACUGAUAUUUUAGGUAUUAUUCAUGAUAAAAUGAAAUAUUAUGCUAUACAUAUGAUACAAACUGAAAUUAAAAUCGAAUUUAUGAAAGUUUUAAAAUGUCCGGACAAAAUUGGGGUAUGAUACCAUGUAGCUUGCAUAGGGGAGAAUAAAAAACCCAAGGUUCGGUGGUUUGAUUCUCCGUCACCUCCAUCUUCAUUAGCUCUCAGAUUUUUGUGCUUAGGAUUCUUGAUGUUAACUGCUUAAUUUUCAGAAUUUGUUAAGCUAUAAUUAAGAGAAAGAUUAGGAUAGGAGUGUUGGAGAGGAGUAAGAAUUUGGAGCCUUUUUCCUUGAAUCCGGACAACUCUGCCGCCUCCGGUGCUGCGGUGCCGGAACUCCGACAGUGGUUCUGCUUUGCCUUCAUGUUGGGAUUGUUUGACUGGUCCAAGGAGUGUUCACUCCAUACCAUUCAUUUCCAUGUGUAGCAUUAACAUGCAUGCUGAUAGCAUUUUUUCGUCUUCAUUAUUGGUGCUGAAUUCUUGCUAACUAUGUUGUUUGAGCCUUAGGCCAAGCUACUGUUCAUCUUAAUCAUGAAAGUCUCGUAAUUAAUUAAUCGAUUCCAAUUCCAAUUCUGUUUUUGACAUUACUCUUGAUGUUGUUUGUGUAUGAAAUAGUUUUUAAUUCCUGUUUUUGGCAUUUUUGAGUCACAUAAUUGUAGAGGUAAAUAGCUUAAUUCAUGUUCAAUUAAAGAUUAGGAUUAGGUAAUUAGUUAGGAAUUAGGCUUAAUCAUGUGCAUGUUAGACUAAUUUCUUAAUUUUUCCAGACUUUGUUUUCACGUGAUCAACCAUGCUAGGCUUAGAAUUUCAUUUGGUUUACCAUGCUAAUUUCCAUGUACAUGAGUAAUCUCACUUUGACUAGAUUACGUUUCAUUUGUGGUUAAGGGCUGAACUGAAAAUUCCAUUUCAUUUUAAUUUGAUAUACGUUUGUUCAUCACGAUCAUCAUAUCGCACCAUGCUAUUAUCAUACCCUCUCAUUCAUUUGAGUCGGCAUUUUAAUUCCUUCUUAUUUGAUGCAUACUAACCAGUGUUGUUUUGUGGCGACAUGCAAAUAAGAGAUCUCAACACUAUCCAAAUCCCUUUUAUUUUUAUUCGUUAGUUUGUAGUAUGUGAAGUGCCAUGCCACUUGUAUGGUUUAUACAUGGCACAUGAGUUGUAAAUUAUAUUUCCCUUUCAUGCCUUCAUGUUGUAUUAUGUGGAUCCAUCCCCUCAUUAUGGGUUAAAUGUUCCCCCUCCCCUAGUCAUGUAACAACUUAAAUUUACUGCUUUCUAGUUAGUUCACCAUGCAUGUUAAUAACCAAGAUAAAAUACAAAACGAUAAAAAAAUCAUUUUUGAAAGAAACAAAAGGUACUUGAUUCAAUGUCAAGUUUUUUUUCCAAAUAAAACUCACACCAUUGCAACGCAAACACUCGAUUUGACACCAAGUAUUUCCCACCCUUUCUUUCCCAUCUUAUCUCCUCAAUCGACCACUAUUUCAAAAUCAAUAAGCAAACCCUUCAUCCAACGUUAAAUGGUCCUUUUUUAAAUCAAAUUCAAAAACACAAUAAAUACGAUUAGGAUUGUAUGCCACGAGCCUUAAGUGGUAAAGAAGGGAUGAGAAUGGAGCUUUCCUACACUCGUUCUGAAUACUUCGAACACAAGACGUUUGGCUUGGUAGUUUUAGGUAUUCACCUUUAUCCAUAGUCUUUAGUGCAAUCCAUAAUUAAUAACACUUUCUUAAAACAUAAAAAUAAUCCAACGCAUUCAAACCUUUUGUUUGAGCCUUAGGGCGACGCAAUCGAAAAUCCUUCUUCAAGGUAAUAAAAAUCAACCAAACAAACAAACCUUUUAAACCCAUGAACUAUGGGGCUCUGAUUUCUCACUUCAACAAGUGGGCAUACGUAGGCACAAGGACCCAAAUCCUUGGCGAGCACACUAAUUUAAAAUCUACCUCCACUCCGCAAGCCUUUGGCAAGAAAACAUUCGAUAAAUAACAUCCACGUAAGCGCAAACAUCCUAGAUGGUUCCCAUGGAGUAACAUGGAUGUGAGGGGUGCUAAUACCUUCCCCUUGCAUAACCGACUUCCGAACCUGUUCGUGGUUGCGAUGACCAUUCUUUGAGGUUUUCUAGAUAUUUUCCCUUUCCUUUAGAAUAAAUAAAAACCGAUGGCGACUUUGUAUUUUUCGCGUAGCGACAACUAACGACUCUGGUUGGGAUAUGCAGACAGCUUGUUGGGACUUCCCUAGCGAGCUGGAGACUCUGCUAGGGACAACUCUCUAAGUAAUUCAAGCCUAACCUAGGUCGCUUCCUUGCGUGUGUGGGUGUUUAUCCUUUUGAUUGUUUGUUUUAUUUAUUGCCUUUCGCUUUAAAUUUUGUAAUAUAUGUUACUUGGAUCCAUUGUUCUAUGAUACCGAAUGGAUGACACCUUAAUUGCAAGAAGCCUUGUGGUAAAGACUCUCCACCCGAGUCUAGCGUGGAAAUUAAGAUAGGAUAGGUUGUGUAGUAUGGGCCACCAAGAAGCUUUUCUCGUAAGGGUCGAUACGAGAAUCUCGCUUAGAGUAGAUUCUUUUGGAGAUGUUGACGACUGUCAAGCUUUUGGCGUAAGCGAUCAAUGUCUUCAUUAGGAUCAAUGACUCUAAGGACCUUCAUAGAAUAUUGAACCUUUGACUAAUUAAUAUUGAUGGUCGCGUAGUGCGGGUCCCUAAGAAGCUUUUCUCGCGUGGGUCGGUACAAAGAUCUCACUCAAAGUAGAUUUUCUUGAUCGAGUUGUCGACCGACAAGCUUUUGUUGUAAGCGAAAAACAGUCAAGGAGGUCCAUGACUUUAAGAACCUUGUCUAGAACCCGAUGUCGAUGGUUACGUACUGAGGGUCCCCGAGAAGCUUUUAUCGUGUGGGUUGGUACGAAGAUCUCACCCAGAUUAGACUCAUUUGAGGGAGUUGACGACCGACAAGCUUUUCCCGUCAGCGCCAAACAGUCAAAUGGAUCGAUGAGUAUGGGGUCCCUAUCUAUAACCCUAGACUACAACCAGUGAGAUCCCUAAUAUGGAGAGAAAUCAGUGUUAUCCUCCAUCCGUAUCUCGAGCCUGUGAUACUACGCCUUCUUGUGUAUGCAACUUGUGAAGCCAUGCUUAUGCACCGUACAUUCAUGCAUUCGUGCAUUCGUGCAUUCGUGCAUUCGUGCAUUCAUGCAUCAUGAGUGAUAAAAACAAAUAUAAUACUCAUGCAUCAUUCACAUAUUAUAUUGCAUUUCGUGAGACCCAUCUCACUAUCACUUGGCCUUUUGUCAGACGAACCACUUCCAACAAAGCUGAUUUCCCGACAUCGGUCUUGAACUUGAAGCAUGUCGUAGAUUACCAUGGAAGAAAUACGAAGAGGUCAAGAAGCGUUGAAGGUCGAAAUCAACCAGCUGAAGACUCAGAUGAGUUUGAUCAUGGAGAUCUUGCAGUCAAUGAUGAGGAAGGAGGGAAAGUCCAUGCCAACUGAUGUACUAGAAGGGGUCACUCCGGUGAGUGUGUCUGACCUCAUUCCACCUUAGGAGCAGCCUCAUGGUUUUCGUCCACAUCCUGUACCUCCAAGGGCUCCGUAUCAGUGACCAUUUCUUGUUCCCCGACCAAGGUGAAGGAACCCUGUGUCGGACCAGUAUCCAAAUCAGCAGUGGAACUUCGCUUAAUAAAGAAGAUAGGGACCAAGAAGGCCUCAAAAGCAGUUUGAUCUAGUUCCCAUGUCGUAUGGUUGAAUCCUACCCCUAUUUCUUAAUAGCUCAUUGGUGUAGUUGAGGGAAGCUAAAUCCCCUCCAACACCUCUUCCUCCAGAUUAUGAUGUGAAUACUAGGUGCGAGUUCCAUUCUAGGACGCCUGGACACUUAAUCGAAGACUGUAAGAGCCUCAAGUACAAGGUACAUGAUUUGAUUGAUUCAAGGGUCAUCGUGCUCACACCGUAAGGCCUGAACAUAAUGAACACUCCCAUGCCUCCACAUGAGGGCACAUCUGCAAUGCCAUGACCGAUGCGAAUGGAAAAUAGGGUAGAUUGGAAGAGUCUGCACCUACGAGUAAAGUUUGAGAAGGAUCCCCUUGAAGAUGAUCAUGUUAUCUUCUGUAAGCCUAGUAAUUCCAGUCUGAGGAUCUGAAUAAGGCCAAUUAUGCCCGUAGUCACUAGUUUUAUUAAAACAUGUUCAUGUGUGAUUUUCUUGAUUGUCAUUUGUAACACUAAUUUGUAGCAAACUAGUUUGUUUUUGAAUAAUAAUGACAUUUUAUUGAAUAUGCAUGUUUUGAAUAAAUCCAUUCGUGGCCACUCAUACUUUAUUUUGUCAAUAUCUAACUUUUGUUUGAGCAAAACCUAGAGGAGGAGGAUGAAAUUGAAAACACGAAAUCACUACUCGUAUAUGUAGAAGCAAGCUUCAAUCCAAGAAUUAUUUUGAUGAAGACAACUUGCAUCAAUGCAAAAAGAGAAGAGCUACAAAGUUAUUUCAAGCAUCAAGUUUUCAAAGCCGCAUAUGCAUUUUGAUCAAGUUUCAUUUUCAAGUCAACCGUUUGCAAGAUUGUUGAUUCACUUCUUAGGUAUAUCUAACUCACUCUUAGAUUAGUAUACAAGUGUUCAACAACCAUGAUCUGGAUUUGCAUCUUUUAACAUAACCAUUUGUUAACACCUUGAAAUGCAAGACACAUUUAUUUUUAAGUAUUUUUCUGCAUUUCAACAGUGUUAACCGGUUAACCAUAUGGGUUAACCGGUUAACAGCCCAGUUUUUCAAAUUCUUUGUUAACGUUUGCAUGCGUUAACCGGUUAACCCAUAUGGUUAACCGGUUAACACUGUUCGUUACAGCAAAAAAUGUUUUUGAAAAAUUAUAUCUUUUCAUCAAUGUUCAUGAGGGAAUUGAUACCUCUUUGAAAAGGUGUUUUGGCAAUAUAAAUUAUUAAAUUUUCAAAAUGAAUUUUGACCUCCAAGAAUUUUCAUACAAACUUCAAAUAAUCACUCUCUCAUAUUUUUCCUUCCAUAAAUUUUUGAAAGUGUUCAUAAUAAAAAUUGUCAUCUCAUUCUAUUGUUGAACACUUGCAUAUUAUCUUUUGAGUGACUUAUUUAUCUAAGGAGAAGAUCAAUCAAGAGAAGAUUGAUAACACUACAUCUUUGAUAAAAUCAUUCAUAGAAUUAUUUCUGUUUGACUUGUGAUCCAGGAUUGUUGGACACAAGGGUUGGUGUUGAAGAGGAUUGUUCUUCAUACACUUGUUUGUCUAUAGGUUAGAUAGUAGGCAUCACCGUUUGUGUGAAUAGGCUGUACCAUAUUCUAACUAUAGUGAAUUCUCUUUCGUGUGAAAGGGGAGUGGAUGUACCUUCGGAUUGUGAAGGGAACCACUAUAAUUUCCGGUGUCGUUUACUUUCCGCAUUUUAAUUUUCCGCACUUAAACAAAAAUAUCCAAAAACCGGAAACUAGAUCGAAGAAAUUUUUAUCACCUAAUUCACCCCCCCUCUUAGGCGCAUUUACAACUUACAUUUGGCAUCAGAGCAAGUUAUAGGUAACUUGUUCCUAGAGAUCCAGCAUGGCUUCCGCAAGCAUAAAUCCGGUUUUCAAAGACGGUGGAAGUAGCAACAAGCCCCCACUCUUCUCCGGAGAAUAUUUCGAUUUCUGGAAAAUAAGAAUGAAGGCACAUCUUGAGGCCCAAGGAGAAGGUAUAUGGGAAGCAGUUGAAGAAGGUCCACACAAACCGGUGAAUGUGGUGAAUGGAGUUGGUACCGCAAAGUUGAAAAACACUUAUGACGAAGAUGAUAGGAAAAAGAUUCUGAAUGAGAAGAAGGCAAUCAACAUACUCCAAAGCGCUCUUAGUAUGGACGAGUUCUUCCGUAUAUCUCAAUGUAAAUCGGCAAAGGAGAUUUGGGACACCUUGGUUGAAACACAUGAAGGAACCACCGAAGUGAAGAGAUCGAGGCUAAACACCCUAAGUCAAGAAUAUGAGAUGUUCCGCAUGCAGCCCGGUGAAUCUAUAGUUGCCUUACAAAAGAGAUUCGUCCAUCUAACAAAUCACUUGAUCGCUCUGGGUAAAACUUUCACUAAUGAUGAUCUCAACCUGAAAGUCCUAAGAUCUUUGACAAGAGAAUGGCAACCGAAAGUGACCGCUAUUUCGGAAAAGAAGAGUCUCUCAACGAUGACAUCCGCGUCUCUAUUUGGAAAACUUCAAGAACACGAAUUGGAACUUGGAAGGCUCGAGAAGCACGAAAGUCAAGAAAAGAAGUCCAAGGGAAUUGCCCUGAAGGUUGAUUCAAAAAGGGACAAAGAUGAUGAGACAUCCGAAGAUGAGAACUUUAUGCUUCUUGUAAAGAAGCUUGGUAAGUUUUUUAAUAAAAAUAAGAAUUCCUCUUAUCCUAAAAAGAAUAACCAUUUCAGGAAAAAGGAAGCAUCCACAUCAAUGCAAGACGUUACGUGUUAUGAAUGUGGACAGCAAGGUCACAUAAAGACGGACUGCCCAAAACUUGCAAAGAAAGGAGGAUUCAAAGGCAAGAAGGAAUUCAAAAACAAAAAGGCUUACGUCGCUUGGGACGAUAAUAAGAUCAGUUCAUCUUCGGAAUCGGAAAGAGAUGAAUGUGCGAACAUGGCUCUUAUGGCUUCACAUCACUCCGAUGAAGAAAUCGAUGAGGUGAGUAGCAAUUUUUCAGUUUAUGACAAUGAUGCACAAGAUGUUAUAAAUGAAAUCUUAAAAGAAUGCAAGACAUUGUAUAAAAUUAUUUCAUCCCAAAAGAAACAAAUUUCAUCCUUAGAAGAAAAAAAUACUGCCUUGGAAAAAUAUAUUGAAAGUGGAAAACAAAAGUUGAUGGAUGAAAAACAAAGUCUUGCAUGUAAGAAUUGUGAAUCUUUAUCUUUUCAAAUUGUUCAACUUAAAAGAGUUUUAGAAAGAUAUGAAAAAGGUCAAAUUGGGUUGGAAGAAAUUCUUAAACACCAAAGGUAUUCUAAUGACAAAAGUGGAUUAGGAUAUUCUAAGUUUUCUAAACCAAGCACAAAUAAGACCAUUUUUGUUAAAGCAAGUGAACAAGUUGCUAAAGAGAAAGUAAACAAUUCUAAAAUUAUGCAUCAAAGUCAUAAAAAGAAAAUGAUUGCUAAGAAGAAGAAUUAUGUUCCUAGAUAUAGAAGUAAUUUUCAACCUACUUGCUUUUAUUGUGGAAUCAAAGGGCACACACCUAAUGCUUGUUAUGUGCGAAACUUUAGCGUUCCAACAGGGCAUUAUGUGUGGGUUAAAAAGGGUACUAACUACCAAGGACCCAAAGCAAUUUGGGUACCUAACAAAACUUGAUUUUGUUUUGUAGGUAUGCUUGAAGACAACCUCGAAUCAAUGGUAUCUUGAUAGCGGUUGUUCAAAGCAUAUGACGGGCGACAUCGACAAAUUUUCACAUCUAUCUUUAAAGGCCAAAGGAUAUGUUACAUACGGUGAUGACACCAAAGGGAAGAUCCUUGGAGUAGGAACCAUUGGAGCACCUCCUGUUACCAUCAUCGAAGAUGUCCUUUAUGUUGAAGGCCUAAAGCACAAUUUACUAAGUAUAAGUCAAUUGUGUGACAAAGGGUUCCGAAUCAAUUUCACAAAAGAUGAAUGUGUGAUAGAGCAUGAAGUCACCCAUGACAUCUUGCUAAAAGGUAAAAGGGUUAAUAAUAUUUUUAUGACUUCUUUUGAUGAUUCUUCCUUGAAGGUAAAAUGCCUAAUGACGAACAACAACGAGGCUUGGCUAUGGCAUAAAAGAUUCGCUCAUAUACACAUGGAGCACAUGAACAAAUUAAUAAAGCAUGAUCUUGUCGUUGGUCUUCCAAAGAUUAAGUUCAUCAAGGAUAAGCUGUGUGACGCAUGCCAAAAGGGAAAGCAAACCAAGACAACUUUCAAAUCCAAGAAUGUUGUAUCUUCAUCGAGGCCACUUCAACUCUUGCACAUGGAUCUCUUCGGUCCAUCAAGAACGAAAAGUUUCGGAGGUAAUGUUUACGGUUUGGUAAUUGUUGAUGAUUUCUCUAGAUAUACGUGGACUUUGUUUCUUGUGCAGAAAAGCGAUGCUUUCAAGGCUUUCAAAAAAUAUGCAAAACAAAUUCAGAAUGAGAAGUCUCUUUCAAUAAUCUCCAUUAGAAGUGACCACGGGGGAGAAUUUCAAAACACAUUCUUUGAAGAAUUUUGCGAAAAACACGGAAUUUCCCACAACUUCUCCGCACCACGAACACCACAACAAAACGGUGUCGUAGAGAGAAAGAAUAGAUCCUUGGUGGAACUCGCAAGAACAAUGCUCAGUGACUCCAACCUUCCUAAAUAUUUUUGGGCGGACGCAGUUAGCACAGCAUGCUUUGUUAGCAACCGUGUCAACAUUCGGCCGAUUCUCAAAAAGACUCCGUAUGAGCUUUUCAAAGGAAGGAAACCUAAUAUAUCCUUCUUUCACAUCUUUGGGUGCAAAUGUUUUGUCCUCAACAAUGGAAAGGACAAUCUUGGUAAGUUUGAUGAGAAAUCCGACGAAGGUAUCUUCCUUGGCUACUCCCUUUCUAGUAAGGCUUUUAGAAUUUUCAAUAAAAGAACUCUUACUAUUGAAGAAUCAACGCAUGUAUGUUUUGAUGAAACUAACCCCUCGAAAGAGGAUAACCUUGUUGUUGAUGACGAUGAUGAUAUAAUAGAUGUAUCACAAAAGGAACUUUCAAAUGUUCAAUCAAUUCCACAAGGAGAUGGCUCACCAAUCAUUGAAGAACAUCAUGAUCUACCGAAAGAAUGGAAAACUCAUAGAGAUCACCCCAUCGAUAAAGUUAUUGGUGAUAUUAGCCAAGGCGUUGCAACACGACUAAAUCUCAAAGAUGCUUGUCUCAACAUGGCUUUUGUGUCUCAAAUAGAACCAACCAAAGUCGAUGAAGCCUUAGGCGACGAUCAAUGGAUAGUAGCAAUGCAAGAAGAACUCAACCAAUUCGAAAGAAAUCAAGUUUGGAGUCUUGUACCAAGACCGGACAACAAGCACAUCAUUGGAACAAGAUGGGUCUUCAAGAACAAACUUGAUGAGAAUGGGAUCAUAGUUCGUAACAAAGCAAGAUUGGUCGCACAAGGAUACAACCAACAGGAAGGAAUUGAUUUUGAUGAGACGUUCGCUCCGGUAGCAAGGUUAGAAGCAAUUCGAUUAUUACUUGCUUUUGCUUGUUCUAUGAACUUUCAAUUGUUUCAGAUGGAUGUCAAAAGCGCUUUCCUAAAUGGCUAUAUCAAUGAAGAAGUCUACGUCAAACAACCUCCGGGUUUUGAAGACUUCAAGAACCCCUCACAUGUUUACAAGUUGAAGAAAGCACUAUAUGGUUUAAAGCAAGCACCGAGAGCGUGGUAUGACCGCCUCAGCAACUUUCUAUGUGAAAAGGGAUUUGUAAAAGGAAAGGUUGACAAGACUCUGUUCAUAAAGAAGAUCAAGGGUAACACCUUAUUGGCUCAAGUCUAUGUCGACGACAUCAUCUUCGGUUCAACAAAUAAAGAUCUUUGCGAAGAGUUUUCAACCAUGAUGCAAGGAGAAUUCGAGAUGUCCAUGAUGGGAAAAUUGAACUAUUUUCUUGGACUACAAAUCAAGCAAACCAAGGAUGGCAUCUUCAUCAACCAAUCCAAGUAUUGCAAGGAAUUAUUGAAAAGAUUUGAUAUGGAUAGUUGCAAAGUGAUGUCCACUCCUAUGGGAUCCGGAACGUACGUUGAUCAAGAUGAAUCCGGAAUGUCAAUAGAUAUUACAAAAUAUCGAGGUAUGAUUGGUUCAUUACUAUAUUUGACGGCAAGCCGUCCUGACAUUAUGUUUAGUGUAUGUUUGUGUGCACGCUUUCAAGCAAACCCGAAGGAAUCGCAUCUCACCGCCGUGAAGAGGAUUAUGAAAUAUCUCAAAGGAACAACGAACGUCGGACUAUGGUAUCCAAAAGGUAGUAUAUGCUCCUUGAUUGGUUAUUCUGAUGCUGACUAUGCAGGCUGUAAGACCGAUAGAAAAAGCACAAGUGGUACCUGUCACAUUCUCGGGAAUGCACUAGUGUCGUGGGCAUGCAAGAAGCAAGCAUGUGUCGCACUUAGCACGGCCGAAGCAGAGUACAUUGCAGCAGGCAGUUGUUGUGCACAAAUUUUAUGGCUUAAGCAACAACUUCUGGAUUUUGGUGUAGACCUCGGCUGCAUUCCUCUUCGAUGCGAUAACACAAGUGCCAUCAACAUCACAAAGAACCCGGUCAUGCAUUCAAGGACAAAGCACAUAGAUAUCCGACAUCAUUUCCUUCGAGAUCACGUGCUUAACGGAGAUGUAGAUGUUACGUUCGUGGAUACACAUAACCAACUCGCCGACAUAUUCACAAAACCAUUGGCUAAAGAGCAAUUCUUCAAGAUUCGGCGAGAACUUGGUAUUCUCAAUGAAGGUGACAUCUAACCUUGUCUUCAAAUUACUUGUUAUGUGGUAUAGUUGCUAAAAAUGUGUUUACUUUCAGUUUUUAUGUUAUGCAAUGCUAGCACUUCUUUUUCGCCGUUUUCCGUUUUUCUUACUUUCGCAUGUCCAAAUAUUAUCCGUUUUAAAAUAUUUUUAAAUCGAAAGUUGCGUAUUGAUAAGUGCUAACACUUUGUGCAAAAAUUUUGAAAAGAUCUUUUCCCGAUUCUUCCAAACGGAGCUGCUGUUUUUUUUCUACUUUUUGAAAAAUUCAGUCCGUUAACCGGUUAACGGUAUAGGUUAACCGGUUAACACCUUCCAACAACAACUCUGUUUUUCGUUUUUAAAUACAACAUUUUUAAAUUAAUUGUUUUAUUUUUAUUACGUGUGUUUAUGUUCAAUGCAUGUGCUUUACUCUUCCACCUUCUCCUCAUAACUCUCUCCUCCCUCAUUACUCUCCAUAAACCCUUCAUCUCUUUAUAUUCAACUUUCAUAACUCUCAAACCCCUUUUCCGAAAAUCCAUCUCUAAACCCUAGAAUCUUCAUCUUCUUCAUGGCUCCACCAAGAAUGGGAAAGGCUCCUGUAUCAUCAUCUAGCAGUGAAGAGGAAGAGUUGAAAAUGGAAACCGCCAAGAAAAGGAGGAUGGAUUUCAAAGUCAGGGUUAGACAUCUGCUUAAGGGUAAGUAUGUGAAUCUCAAAUCCUUCACUACUUUCUCUUUCCCUGAGUUGUUGAGAUACCAAGGAUUGCAUGCGUUCAUCACUGAUAAUGGGAAAAUUUACACUGAUUUGGUAAAAUCUUUUCUGAAUCAUUUUACUUUAAAUCUGAAUGAUGAUGAACAACACAUGCUGUCUGCAACUGUAAGAGACUCUGAAAUUGUUACAGACCUUAGGACGUUGGCUGCGUCUCUUAAGAUUCCAUAUUCUGGUUUUUUCCUUCGGAAAGGUGUUAAUCAUGAGGAAGGAAAAUGGGCUCAGUAUGAUAAGAUGGAAUACUACUACUCUAUCUGCAGAUUUCCCAGGGAGGUUGUUAUGUCGGGACAGCGCACUUCUCGCAUACUCUGCUAUGCUAAGAAUCUGUCGGUUGACGAUCGUAUGCUGCAUUAUGUUAUCUGCCAUGUCCUGCUGCCCAAGGAUUCCAACCUGUCUCAAAUCAAUGAUUUGGAAAUGCAAGUUCUGUUUGCAGUGAAGAACAAAAUCCGAGUUAAUUGGCUGCCCACUAUGAUGUAUCAUCUGAGACAGCAACUUUCUCUCAAAACAAGGCUGCCAUACGGUCGCCUUAUCUCAAGGAUUUUGGAACUCACAGAUAUGGAAAUCGGGAGAGAACCGUUUUUGGCUAUGACCACUACCGCCAAUGAAAUCAACGGCGUUACCAUCAUGAAAAAUACUGGAAUUAUUCAAAGCAACGACGGCUCCUACAAAUAUGAUGAUGGGUCCUCCUCUUCAAACUUCCCUAUUCCGGAAGGUGGCAUUACCAAUGAGUUUCUCUAUACUACCAUGAUGAGCCACCACCGUGAAACCACCCGUGCUAUCAAGAGUCUUCGGAACCUAGUGUUGAGUUCCCGCAACCUUCCUGUAGAAGAUGAUGAAGGUGAAGACGGUAGUGAAGCGGAUGGCGAGGAGGAUGAGGCCGGUUCGGAAGAAGAAUAGAGCACUAUGUUUUUUUUUCUAUGUUUCUGUUAUAUGUUGUUCUAAUAUUUUUGUUGUUAAACUAUGUUUAUGCUAUUUAUGUUUACCAAACACUUAACUUUUAAUCCAUAGUUAUUUUGUCAUAAUAUGUGAUUCAAUGUGUGUAUGCUUGUAUACUUGUUUUUUUUUUAGGUCUCUUCCUUUUUGCUAAUGACAAAGGGGGAGAAGACUUGUUUCUCUAAUGGUUUUCUAUGCAGAAUUAUUGUAUGCCUCUCAUUUAGGGGGAGUUCUUAAAUUUAGGGGGAGAAUCAACUUAGAGAAACUUCACUUUCAUGCAUCUAUUUNAGACGUUACGUUGUUUGAAUCGUGGGACAGCCAAGUCACAUAAAGAACGGACUGCCAAAACUUGCAAACGAAAAGGAGGAUCUCAAAGGCAAAAGGGAAUUCAAAAAACAAAGCUCUACGUCGCUUGGGACGCUAAUAAGAUCCGUUCAAUUCUCUCCGGAAUCGCAGAAAGAAGCCAUGAGAUGUCAGCGAAACAUGACUCACUUCAUGGACUUCACAUCCACUCCGCGAUGAAAGAACUCAGAGAGAGGAAGUAGCAUAUUUUCACAGACUUCUAACUGACAAUUGCAUGCCAACGAUGUUAAAUAAUGAAAACUCUCUAAGCACAGAACACUGCAAAGACCGAAUGUUAUAAAUAUUAUCAAUCCAAAAGAACCACAAUUGUUCACAUCCUUAGAAGAAAAAAAUACUCGCCUCCUGGAAAAUAUAUUGAAGUGGAAACACAAGUUGAUGGAUGAACAAACCCAAGAGUCUUGCAUGUAAGAAUUGUGAACUCUUUACUACUUUCAAAUUGUUCACUACAAAGAGUUUCGAAAUAUGAAAAGGCCCCAAUUGGGUUGGAAAAUUCUUCUUAACACAAGGAUAUUUCAAUGACAAGAGUGCUUAAAGACCUUUCUAACUAUUUCUAACCAGACACAAUAAGACCAUUUUUGUUUAAGCAAAGAUGCAACAUUGCCAAGGGCGCAAAGUUACCAACAAUUCUCAAAUUAAUGCAUCAAAGAUCACUAAAGAAAUAUGCUCAAGCAGAAGACAGAUUAAUGUUCCCUAGAUAUAGACAGUAUUUUCCAAGCCUAUUGCUUUCUAAUGUGAAAUCAAAGGGCACACCUAAUGCUUAGUUAUGUGCGAACGCCGUCUGCGUAUCAACAGCAGGAAUAUGUAGUGGGUUAAAAGAGUAUACUACACAAGGACCCAAAAGCAACCUAUGGGUACCUACCCACAAAACACUUGAUUUUGUAUUUCGUAGGUAUGCUGAAGCACUCGAAUCCAAUGGAUAUCUUUCGAUACGCGGUUGUUCAGCACUAUGCGAGCGACAUCGGACAAUUCUUCCACUAUCUUUAAGCAAAGGAUUAUUACAUUCACGGUACGAUGACACAAGGCAGCAUCUUCGGACGUAGGAACCCAUUGGAGCAACUCCUGUUGACCUCAUCGAGAAUGACACCUGUAUGUGAAGGCCUAACCACAAUUUACUCAAGCUAUAGUUCAAUUGUGUGACCAAAGAGGUUCGAAUCAAUUCUCACAAAAGAUGAAUGGUGAACUAGAGACAUGAAGUCACACUCAUGAAAUCCCUUGACUCAAAAGGCUCAAAAGGCGAUUAAUAUACUUUUAUGACUUCUUUUGAUGAUUCUUCACUUGAGGCUAAUGCACCUAUAGAACGAACCCAACCGGCUUUGGCCGGCUAUGGCAUAAAGAUCGCUCUUCACACAUGGAGCACCUGACAACUUAAUAACAGGAUCUUGUCGUCUGGUCUUCCAAAGAUAUAAGUUCAUCCAAGGAAGUUGCAAACCUGUGACACCUGCCAAAGGGCAAAGGCAAACCAGCACGCACUUUCAAAAUCCCAAGAUGUUGUGUCCCUUCCGCGUACAACGACGGCACUUCACUCUUGCACAUGGAAUCCUACUUCGGUCAUCAGAACGAAAAAGUCUCGCGGACCGUAAAAUGUUAGAACGGAUCUAGAAGGUAAUUGUUGCAUGACUUCUCUAGAUUACGUGCGACUUUGUUUCUUGUGCCACGCAACAAGCGCGUUUGCUCUUCAGGCGUUCAAAAAAUAUGCAAAACAAAUUCACGCACAUGAGAAGUCUCUUUCAUAUUUCCAUUAUAGAAGCUGACCACGGGAGAAUUUCAAAAACAUUCUCUUGAAAAUUUUUGCGAAGCACGAAUUUAUCAUAUAUCCGCACCACGAACAACACAACCAACAACCCGGUGUCGUAAGAGAGCAAAGACAUAGUCCUUGGGCGAACUCGACAAAGAACAGAUGCUCCAGUGACUCCAACCUUCCCUAAAUUUUCGUGGGCGAGCACCGCAACGCUUACGCAAGCUGCUUUGUCUAGCAACGUUGUUUCACAUUCGAACCGAUUCUCAAAAACUCCGUAUGAGCCUUUUCAAGGAAGGCACCUCAAUAUAUCAACUUCUUUUCACAUCUUGAGGUGCACCACUGUCAGCUUUGUCACUCAACAUUGGAAGGACAAUUUCGUAAGUUUCGAUGAGAAUCGCGCCGAAGGUAGCUUCCUUGAAGCAUACUCCCUUUAUCAGGCUUCUUAGGAAUUUUCUAAAAGAAAUUUACUAUAAGAUCAACGAUGUAUGUCUUUGAUCAACUUACCUCGAAAGAGGCAUAACCUUGUUGUUGAUGACACAUGAUGGACAUAAAGAGGCUAUCAAAGGGAACUGCAUCAAAUGUUCAACUCCAUUCUACAAGGAGGGGGAAGGCGGAUCACAAUCAUUGAGAUUCCAUGCUCUACCGAAGAGUAGGAGACUCAUAGAGAUCACCCAUUGAUAAAGUUUAAUUAGUGCAUAUUAGCAAGGCGUCCUCUGCAACACGACUCAGAAUCUCACAAGUGCUUGUCUCACACAUGGCUUUGUGUCUAAAUAAACCACCAAAGGUCGAUUGAGCAUUAGGCGACCAUCACAUGCGAUUAGUAGCAAUGCAAGAAGAAUCACAAUUCGAAAGAAACUCAGUUUGCGUAUCCGUUACCAACGACCAAGACAACCAGACAUCAUUGAACAGAUGCGUCGUCAAGACAACUUGCAUUUCGAGGUUCAUAGGGAACACAACCAAAACCAAACGGGGGAACAUAUGGACUAUGUUACGGUUACAAAGCGAGAUUCGGUCGCACAAGCUACAACAGACGAAGGAAAUUGAUU
Molecule: long non-coding RNA, 16718 nt
Filed under: Lathyrus oleraceus (garden pea)
Lineage: Eukaryota; Viridiplantae; Streptophyta; Magnoliopsida; Fabales; Fabaceae
Description: Pisum sativum (pea) long non-coding RNA (PSAT_LNC038794)
Source: RNAcentral